Molecule: ribosomal RNA, 2916 nt
Filed under: Vibrio parahaemolyticus
Lineage: Bacteria; Pseudomonadati; Pseudomonadota; Gammaproteobacteria; Vibrionales; Vibrionaceae
Description: bacterial LSU rRNA
Rfam family: Bacterial large subunit ribosomal RNA
Source: RNAcentral
GUUGUAUGGUUAAGUGACUAAGCGUACACGGUGGAUGCCUUGGCAGUCAGAGGCGAUGAAAGACGUAGUAACUUGCGAUAAGCCCAGAUUAGGUAGUAACAACCAUUUGAGUCUGGGAUUUCUGAAUGGGGAAACCCACGUGCAUAAGCACGUAUCCUUACCUGAAUACAUAGGGUAAGGAGGCGAACCGGGGGAACUGAAACAUCUAAGUACCCCGAGGAAAAGAAAUCAACCGAGAUUCCGAAAGUAGCGGCGAGCGAAAUUGGACUAGCCCUUAAGCUUUACACGCGUUAGACGAACGGUCUGGAAAGUCCGACGAUACAGGGUGAUAGUCCCGUAGUUGACGACGUGUGUUCAGUGAAAUCGAGUAGGGCGGGACACGUGAUAUCCUGUCUGAAUAUGGGGGGACCAUCCUCCAAGGCUAAAUACUACUGACUGACCGAUAGUGAACCAGUACCGUGAGGGAAAGGCGAAAAGAACCCCUGUGAGGGGAGUGAAAUAGAACCUGAAACCGUGUACGUACAAGCAGUAGGAGCAGGCUUUGUCCUGUGACUGCGUACCUUUUGUAUAAUGGGUCAGCGACUUAUAUUCAGUGGCAAGGUUAACCAUCUAGGGGAGCCGUAGGGAAACCGAGUCUUAACUGGGCGUUCAGUCUCUGGAUAUAGACCCGAAACCAGGUGAUCUAGCCAUGGGCAGGUUGAAGGUUGAGUAACAUCAACUGGAGGACCGAACCGACUAAUGUUGAAAAAUUAGCGGAUGACUUGUGGCUAGGGGUGAAAGGCCAAUCAAACCUGGAGAUAGCUGGUUCUCCCCGAAAGCUAUUUAGGUAGCGCCUCGGACGAAUACUACUGGGGGUAGAGCACUGUUAAGGCUAGGGGGUCAUCCCGACUUACCAACCCUUUGCAAACUCCGAAUACCAGUAAGUACUAUCCGGGAGACACACGGCGGGUGCUAACGUCCGUCGUGGAGAGGGAAACAACCCAGACCGCCAGCUAAGGUCCCAAAUUACUACUAAGUGGGAAACGAUGUGGGAAGGCUCAGACAGCCAGGAUGUUGGCUUAGAAGCAGCCAUCAUUUAAAGAAAGCGUAAUAGCUCACUGGUCGAGUCGGCCUGCGCGGAAGAUGUAACGGGGCUAAGUAGUAAACCGAAGCUGCGGCAAUAUACUUUUGUAUAUUGGGUAGGGGAGCGUUCUGUAAGCGGUUGAAGGUGUGUGGUAACGCAUGCUGGACGUAUCAGAAGUGCGAAUGCUGACAUGAGUAACGAUAAAGGGGGUGAAAAACCUCCUCGCCGGAAGACCAAGGGUUCCUGUCCAACGUUAAUCGGGGCAGGGUAAGUCGACCCCUAAGGCGAGGCCGAAAGGCGUAGUCGAUGGGAAACGGGUUAAUAUUCCCGUACUUCUUACAAUUGCGAUGGGGGGACGGAGAAGGCUAGGUGGGCCUGGCGACGGUUGUCCAGGUUCAAGUGCGUAGGCUUAAGAGUUAGGUAAAUCCGGCUCUUUCUAAGGCUGAGACACGACGUCGAGCACCUACGGGUGUGAAGUCAUUGAUGCCAUGCUUCCAGGAAAAGCCUCUAAGCUUCAGAUUGUAAGGAAUCGUACCCCAAACCGACACAGGUGGUCGGGUAGAGAAUACCAAGGCGCUUGAGAGAACUCGGGUGAAGGAACUAGGCAAAAUGGUACCGUAACUUCGGGAGAAGGUACGCUCUCGACGGUGAAGUCCCUUGCGGAUGGAGCUAUUGAGAGUCGCAGAUACCAGGUGGCUGCAACUGUUUAUUAAAAACACAGCACUGUGCAAAAUCGUAAGAUGACGUAUACGGUGUGACGCCUGCCCGGUGCCGGAAGGUUAAUUGAUGGGGUUAGACUUCGGUCGAAGCUCUUGAUCGAAGCCCCGGUAAACGGCGGCCGUAACUAUAACGGUCCUAAGGUAGCGAAAUUCCUUGUCGGGUAAGUUCCGACCUGCACGAAUGGCGUAAUGAUGGCCACGCUGUCUCCACCCGAGACUCAGUGAAAUUGAAAUCGCUGUGAAGAUGCAGUGUACCCGCGGCUAGACGGAAAGACCCCGUGAACCUUUACUACAGCUUGGCACUGAACAUUGACCCUACAUGUGUAGGAUAGGUGGGAGGCUUUGAAGCACGUACGCCAGUAUGUGUGGAGCCGUCCUUGAAAUACCACCCUUGUAGUGUUGAUGUUCUAACGUCGACCCCUAAUCGGGGUUGCGGACAGUGCCUGGUGGGUAGUUUGACUGGGGCGGUCUCCUCCCAAAGAGUAACGGAGGAGCACGAAGGUGGGCUAAUCACGGUUGGACAUCGUGAGGUUAGUGCAAUGGCAUAAGCCCGCUUGACUGCGAGAAUGACAAUUCGAGCAGGUGCGAAAGCAGGUCAUAGUGAUCCGGUGGUUCUGAAUGGAAGGGCCAUCGCUCAACGGAUAAAAGGUACUCCGGGGAUAACAGGCUGAUACCGCCCAAGAGUUCAUAUCGACGGCGGUGUUUGGCACCUCGAUGUCGGCUCAUCACAUCCUGGGGCUGAAGUCGGUCCCAAGGGUAUGGCUGUUCGCCAUUUAAAGUGGUACGCGAGCUGGGUUUAGAACGUCGUGAGACAGUUCGGUCCCUAUCUGCCGUGGGCGUUGGAAGAUUGAAGGGGGCUGCUCCUAGUACGAGAGGACCGGAGUGGACGAACCUCUGGUGUUCGGGUUGUGUCGCCAGACGCAUUGCCCGGUAGCUAAGUUCGGAAUCGAUAACCGCUGAAAGCAUCUAAGCGGGAAGCGAGCCCUGAGAUGAGUCUUCCCUGAUACUUUAAGUAUCCUAAAGGGUUGUCGGAGACUACGACGUUGAUAGGUCAGGUGUGUAAGUGCUGUGAGGCAUUGAGCUAACUGAUACUAAUUGCCCGUGAGGCUUAACCAUACAACACCCAAGGGGUUU